RNAcentral lists this unclassified non-coding RNA (228 nucleotides) under Hevea brasiliensis (rubber tree). Lineage: Eukaryota; Viridiplantae; Streptophyta; Magnoliopsida; Malpighiales; Euphorbiaceae. The record is from RNAcentral.
AAAUAUAUAUAUACAUAUAUAUAUAAAGAAAUCCUUUACACAGUUAUCUCCAAUCUUUACUUGGAAAAAGAUAGAAGUGUUUGAUGUGUAUGGCUUUUUCCAAUUCCAUUUAGUUGUUAGUUAGAGAUGUUUGCUGGGUAAACUUUUAGCAUUCCAAUUGUUGUUUCUAGAGAGAGAAAGAGAGACAGAUGUAAAGUUGUAUUCUUUUUGUUUUUCAUUUUGUCUAUA